Molecule: long non-coding RNA, 3982 nt
Filed under: Paramuricea clavata
Lineage: Eukaryota; Metazoa; Cnidaria; Anthozoa; Malacalcyonacea; Plexauridae
Source: RNAcentral
GGGAAAAUAUUGCAAACUGUUGUAGUGAAACAACCACCGGAAGCUUGCUGGUGGUCAGAGUUGUAUCUUUGGGUGGUUUGUAAAGGAGUGGUGGUAAAAUAUCCUUAUAAUUCAACACAAAGAAACGUCUUGGGGGAUGAACUUGAAGAAUGUGCUAUAAAUUUUCAAAGUGUCCUGAAAUUUUCAAAAGGUGUACUUGUUAUUCGACUCAGUGACAAUGAAGAAAUUUCUCUUCUAAAAGUUUGCAACCAAAUGCUUUAUCCUCAACAAAUUCCUGAGUCAAAUUACAAUGCCACUUCAGUUGCAGUAAGUUCAGAUGGGUGUGCUGUUCUCUUGUAUCGUAAAUCCAGUUCAGAUUAUCAGUUGUGGGAGAUAGCAAGUGAGAACAGGUGGGAAUUACGUUCAACUGGAACGUUGAGCGAUACUUAUCGGGUAGUUUGGUUCUGCUUAACUGGCACACAGAAUUCCCGAAGUUCGAUAUGGCUCACAUAUUUUUGGAUUUGGAAGACGAAUUGUGUGAAAACCUUUUGCUAUCUUCCAUUGACUUCCCAAGUUGUCAGCAGGGUUGCUGGCACUAUCUUCCUUUACAACAUCGCAUCGGUACUGCCAUUUAUGUAGACCCUGACAUUCUAAUUGUUUAUAAGUAUGGGUGGAUAUAUUUUAUCAAGUUGUCAGAUGGUAAAAUCGUUAUGUCCUUAUAUAUAGGUCUGAUUUCUGGUUUUCGAAACGUAUCUUCCUUUUACAUCGCCUCACGGGGCAUGCUUCUCUUAGGUGGGGCCACAAAUAUCAAUUUUUUUAAGAUUCAUAAUAUUGAAAAUUAUAUAACUUCUGUAACCAAAGAGUGGUAGAAAAUAACGCUGUUUCUUGGGUUUUUUUAGUCUCAUGAUGUAAAUGUUCACCCAAAUCAUUCACAAAAAAACAUGAAAACAUGACUAAUUUCCCCCCGUAUAUUCUGCCUGUCAGGAAUAAAUAUGUUCGGGACUCUAUUAUAUAAUAAAAGUUAACGCGGAGACCUGUUGAUGUAUAUUAUACGUUUGAACAAUAUGUUUAUUUUAAAGACAUUCACUAUCGGCCGCUUUACAUUUGGUUACUUUUCCCAGAUGUUCUUGUGAUGAGCGUACACGUAAACAAAGCCUUGAUGAAAAUGCUCAUAAAAAAUGGUCGCACUCUGCCUAUUAUUUAUUAAUAAAGUUUUGUUUCUCUACCUGAGCAAAAUCUUUAAAAUAUUUUAAGUUAACAACGAUGAUUUAUUUUUACUACAAAAAGUUAUGACUCAAGCAGGAAGGUUUCUUUUUAUCCUAUUAUGAAGUGUCUCGUUGUCAUCAAGAUAUUGCGUAAGUCAAUUCUCUAGGUGUCUCAAAAACAUAUUCCACACAUGGAAGUUGUUAAUGAAAUUGAACUUUCUUGCGGCCAUCUAAUUUUAGCCAAAAAUCAACGCCAUCUAUAGUAAUCCUUAAAGCAUUGGCGUAGCCAGCCCGACAAUUUGGUCAUGGUAUGUAAAUUUUAAAUUAUUAAUUUCUUUAGAAAUUGAUUGUUCUCACGGUCAGUGAACUCGAAAAUAUUUGCAUAGCAUGACUAAAUUGUUGGGCUGGCUACGCCACUGCCUUAGGGCCAGUUCAUAUGGGCAAAAUUUAUCCCGGUUAACGAGAUAACUUUUCGACUAGCCAAAUACUUUUAUUCUGUUCAUAUGCAUGGAGAAAUAUUAUUCCACUUACCGGGAAAGGUUUCCGGCUUUGACGUAGCACUGAACAUCAAUUGAAUUGAAAAGUUGCUGACACGACAAAAAGUUAUCCCGCUAAGCGGGAAAGUUGUGUUCAUAUGGGGAAAACAUUAUCCCGGUCACCGAGGUCUCGCCUGUCAACAAUCGAGAUCUCGGUACACGGGAAAACUUUUCGUCUCAUAUGAACGCAAUGUAACUUUUCAUAUUUUCGUAACAAGGCGAGAUCUCGCUCGUAAACUUGUCGAAAAGUUUUCUCGCUAACUGGGAUAACUUCUGCCCAUAUGAACAGGCCCUUAAAGUUAGUCUGAAAAAAUCGACGCCAUCUAGCAGCAAUCCAUCAAGUUGUCCACACAUGGAGGUUACUAAUGAAAUUGAACUUUCUUGCGAGCAUCCAACUCUAGCCGAAAUCGACGCCAUCUUAAGAAAGCAAUCCAUCAAGUUAGUCUGAGAUUUCCUAAACUUGAAAUAACUGAACUUAAGGCUGGUUUGCAACUUCAAUUUUUCAUGGUACGGAAUAUCUAGCGUAAUGGAAGUUUAAAAAUAUAUUAACAUUAAAAUAAUACUAUUAAGAGGAAACUCUUUGAGAAAGAUUUAUAUUCAAACAAUUUUGUAAAUAGAGAUUUUGGGCCUGCUCAAGUGAAGCGGUAAUUAUCGAGCUAUGUCGCUUACCUAUGAUGUCCUUUCGUAGCAAUUGCACAAAUGAUUUUUGUCUGGUUAACAAAAUGAAUUCAGCUUCUCCGGUUAUUGAGAUGUUUGCAGACUGAAACUAUAGGCAAGAAAAAUGAAAAUUUCCAGAUUGAUAUGCCAGCUUUCUUGCCAUAACAAAAUGUUGAAAAAGUGGGCUGUUUUAUUGACGAUUUUUCACUUGUUUUGUUUUGGUUUUAUAAACAAGUACGUAUAUCAAAUGCCUUCUUCAAGAAAUGACUUCUUAACAAAAGCAAGAAAAAAAAGAAAUUGCAAAAAACCUGAAUGAAGCAUAUAUGUGUUUGCAAGUGCUAAUUAUAGUAAGUACUGUUAAAUACAUUCGAAUUUAAUCCGGCAGGCGCAGGAUGAAGAUCUCCACUACAUCCAAGACGUCUAUAGGUAUGCGGGCUCGUAUCACCGGCUCAUAUGACUGCAAUGUAAUGCUGCCUUGUACUUAGUGUAUAUAUUGCGUAAACCUGCCUUGAAUGUAAGUUUUAAAAUUGUUGAAAAUAAGUAUGUCUUGUGUCAAAAACCACAAAUAUUCCAAAUAUUCGCUAUAAACGCUAAUUCGUUUACGACUGCAAUUUUAUUUAUCGAGACAAAACUGAUGAGAAAACCGUUGCGACUUAAGAUGGCGUCGUUUUUAUUGAAAAGGUCAAUCGUUUUUCCUUAAAUGAUCUUGUCAAAGAAAGAAAUGAUUAAAAAAAAAUACACACAUAAUUGAUUAUCGAAAUAAGUUUCCUUUUUGACUACAUUAUAGAGUAAGUUAAUUACAAGUACAAAAUGCACAAUUUGCAUGCAGGCAUGCAGUCACGUCAUAUUUUGAAUCACUAGGAGGCAGUUACGAUAGAAAAAUAUGACGCAACUAACACGCAAAUGAUGAAUGUUGUACUCGUAAAUGUAAUCAAAUCUACAGAUCUCUAGUGACUAUAUGGAUGGACUGUAAAUAAAGACAGAAUAAUAGUAGAAAUUAAGGCAUCAUGGGCAUUGUAUCAAAUGAGUCAAAGCAUAUACUGCUUGAAGACGAAUUUUGAUUGCAUGUAUUAAGUGCGAGACAUACAAUAGCAUGUACUUACAAGUGCUAUAUCAAUUUGAAGGCAUUUCAUUUGGCAGCUUUUCAUUAUGUAUGUCUAUAAAUUGAACAUAAAACACAUAUUUAGAUUUCUUUCAAUACUGAUUGCUAAUAUUUUUCAGUACGAUGCUGACUCAUGCUUGUGAAAUAAUGAAAUUUCCUAAUAUGUUAGUGUAUAAGAAUUGUGAGCAGUGUUUUAUCAGAUAUAAAGAUACGAGGCAAAGCUGAGUAUUAAGCAUAUAAAUGAAUAACAUGUAGCGGAUUUUCAGAAUCUUCUAGAACACACAAAAAAUAAAAUAGCUGUAAUUAUUUCAGAAUUGAUAGUUGAUUUUGUAAUCCUAGUUGAAAACACAAAUCUUUAAUUUAGUCACGUUAUAGUUUUAAAUGAUGAAGAAAUACAUUGUGUCAUUGAAAUUCGAUAAUUAUAUACAUAUUAUGUGAACAUUUACAUUAUAUAUCAAUCUGCUGAAGAACAAUAAUGAAUUNNNNNNNNNNNNNNNNNNNNC